RNAcentral lists this long non-coding RNA (4639 nucleotides) under Sus scrofa (pig). RNAcentral describes it as "lncRNA (ENSSSCG00025016507.1)". The record is from RNAcentral. Lineage: Eukaryota; Metazoa; Chordata; Mammalia; Artiodactyla; Suidae.
CAAGCACCCAUUCUGUGCAUAGCACUGUUCCAGAUGUGAUAAAAAGGAUUUUUUUUUUUUUGGGUCUUUUUGCCUUUUUGCCUUUUUCUAGGGCCGCUCCCAUGGCAUAUGGAGGUUCCCAGGCUAGGGGUCCAAUCGGAGCUGUAGCCACUGGCCAACACCAGAGCCACAGCAACGCAGGAUCCGAGCCGUGUCUGCAACCUACACCACAGCUCACAGCAAUGCCGGAUCAUUAACCCACUUAGCAAGGGCAGGGAUCGAACCUGCAACCUCGUGGUUCUUAGUCGGAUUUGUUAACCAUUGUGCCACGACGGGAACUCCCCCAGAGACCUUUAAAUUCCCUAAAACUAGGUUUGGAGGAAGAGAAUUGUCUGUCUGUCUCUCUCAGCUCUUACUAGAUUUUGCUUUCUCUUUAAGUUACACACGUGGCUGUGAACAGUGAUAGAUCCUUUAACCCAGACAGCCAUGGGAUGUUGGAGGAGCAGGGCGAGCAGGAGGCUGGCACCUGCAAAGCACGGGCAAAAUCCCAGUGCAGACCCUUCAGUACUGGGAAGGGACGGGGUCAACACAGGAUGGUGUUUUGAAACAGAACUUUUUUAUUAUGGCCAGGAAAUUUGCCUGAGAUGCUGUUUAGCUGGGUCUGCCCUGGCCUUCAUUGAUGCAUCUGUCACUCUAGGUGAGGGCUGUGAACAAGGCAUCCCCUUCUUUCCCUGGCUUUCAGAAACUCAAUCCCUCCCCCUCACUCCCUUCUGUGGGACCUUAGAACAUUAAAGCAGCAGGUAAUUUCUCCUGCUGAGGACGGAGCUUAUUAUGAUUCAUUACUUUAACAAAGUCAGCAUAAUAUACAUGUAUUUCCUGUGGGAGUUAAGAAUAAACAUGAGCUAUGGUUGCUCAGUUUUACAUUUUCAGCUUCGUUUGCCAAGACCAUAGCCCUGAGGCUGGACAUUCAGCUGUCAGUCCAGUUGGGUACAUCCAACUGGACUGGACUAGAGGGGGGGGGCGCCCUGGCUUUGUCCUGUGCCACCCACAUGUGAGCACAUUGAUGCUUAGAAUUAUCUGCUGCAAAUAUAUCUCAAAUACACUAGAUGCAAAGUCAUCUGAGAUCCUUAUGCAUUUUUCAGUGUCAGAGGCGGCAGAUAAAAAUAAUCUCUUUGCAUCAUGUUCUCUUGGCUUAGGAAUGAAUUAAGUGACACCACUGCAGCCCCAGGCUGUCAUGCUGCUGUUGGCAUAGCCAGUGAUCUCGCCAGCCCUGCUUGCUCUGGGUAUUGAUUCAUUUUAAGAAACUGGAAUGACACUUGGAGCACAACCCCUUUUUUCUUUAGAUAUUGAAUUCUAAUUUCUGACCUGUCAGCAUUAAGUUAACAAAGAUGGUUUCUUCUGGCUGGUUUGCCCUUAAUGAUUGGUUCAUUUUAACGUUUGGAUUCUCUUCUUGGAUUUCCAAAUCCGUUUCUCAGCCUAGAUGUCAGUAAUUGCUAUGUGCUAUUUAUUUAUUUAUUUGGGCUGUACCCGCAGCAUGUAGAAUUUCCUGGGCCAGGAAUCAAACCCAUGCCACAGCCGUAACCCAAGCUGCAAAAGUGACCAUGCCAGAUCCUUAACCCUCUGCAUCACCAGGGAACUCCUGGGCUAGCUAUUUAUAGUUAAUUAUAUUUGUAGAUUGCUUCUGAAAGAUCUGGGGCAGAUGUUUUUGUUGUUGGAUAUGCAGAUCAAGGUCUGGUUUCAGAUUAGUUCCAAACAAAAGUCUGGUUCAAAACUUCCAUCUUUAGUUUCGAAAACCCUCAAUCCCAUUUAUGUGUGUGUGCCCUAUUCCCCCUCUUCCUGCCUUUAAGGGCGAGGGGAAGGUAAUUAAGCCCAGGAGCAGAACAACAGCAAAGGAGGAGCCCUCAGUGGACAGAUGGUAGUGGGUGAAGAGUAGCUGUUGAAACUUGAGUAGCUGUUGAAUCUUGUUGACUCAUUCCUCUACCGCCAUCUAGAGUCUGGUAGUGAUACUGCCUUAACUCCUGUCCUGUGACAAAAAGCCAGUUGAGGGUCUUAGAUACUGUAUUGUGUUGGCAAAGAGUGACGAGCAGUUUCUUGCUACUUGACUAGCCACGUAAUUAAUUAGUCUAUGGUGCAUGAACACGCAUGCUAGGGAUUUAAGAAAUCAUUAGGGCCUGAGUAAUAUACCUCCUAUACUUCAACCGGGGUUUUUGGAGGAUUGGCUUUUAUUUAGAAGUACAUUUAGAAGUAAAUUAGGUGCUUCACGAGACUCUGUGAGUGUGAUUAUCCUCUGACUGGUUUGCAUUGCUCUCUCUAUUUUCAUAAAGACAGGCUGGAGAUCUUUAUUAUUAAUCACUUGCACAGAUGAUAUUAAUACGGGAAACUCCUCCAGGCAGGUUUUCUUUAAAACAUGAUUUCCCUGGCAGCUGUGGUUUUACUUAGCUUGUGCCCCUGCUCGGUAGGACACCUUUGCGGAAAGAUGCCCUUCCUUCUUUUGGGCUAUUUGUCUAAGCACAUGUAAACAUUUACAUAAUUGAUGAGGCGGUUCUGAACUGUCUGCAGAUUCUCUCUAAGCCGUUCCCGAGAGUAGGACAGAGAGUACUUGAGAACCCAGAAGUGCUUAGGAAAAAGUCUUUAAUAUUUUCAGAGAAAGGUUCACUUGGGAUGAUGCUCUUAAUAGCCUCAUCUGGAAGGAUGGGUGGAGCAGCCAGUAAUUUGGCUAAGAAAAAGGUUUUGAUUGCAUUUGCUAUUGAUACAGACAUUGAUAUAAAUAUAUUAAAAGCACUCUUUUUGGAAAAACAGUGGAAAGAGGAGAGUUUUGUGGAUGACAAGGAUGACACCAUGUCUUUUAAGCGUGUGCCCUGCCUGGCACCUCCCAGGUAUGCGUGGGUCCCUCCCAGGAGCCCAGCCCCUGUGUUUACUGAGCCUGUUUGUCAUGUCAGUAUCUGCCUACGACGGGGUGUCUGGAAGUAGAGAGUCGGAGCGUUGUGAGAAUGAGGAAGGCUGAGCACUGGGGGAGGAAGGGCCAGCAGGUCCUUUCGGCCACUCUGCAUCUUUUUGUCUCUUGCUUCUUAGGUCAAGUAAUUACAGCUCCAGUUAAAACGUAGUUCUCGAUCUGAGGUGCCCAGUAAACCCUGAAGGGCUGGUAUAAAGAUGAAAAUGUCUUUAUUGGACAGAAUCCUCGCAUUAUUUCCACUUUCCAAUUAGUUAUAACCCUCGCCUUUCUGCCACUUGUAAAAAGCGGCUUUCGGGAGAUAAUGUGUGGAAAGAACUCCCACUGUCAGUUCGGUUUUUAAAUGCUACAUUUGUUUAAAUUACUCCCUCACAAGGCUAGCAGGUUCUGUUUGGGGUACCAGUGUGGCAUAUGGGGGGUGAGUUGGGAUAUACCAUCAACCACAACAAAAAUGGCUCAGGAGUUCCUGUUGUGGCUCAAUGGAUUAAGAACCCGACCCCGUGAGGAUGUGGGUUUGACACCCGGCCUUGCUCAGUGGGUUAAGGAUCAUUUGUUGCAGUGGCUGUGGUGUAUGCUGGCAGCUGCAGCUUGAUUCGACCCCUAUCCUGGAAACUUCCAUAUGCCACAGGUGAGGCCCUAAAAAGAAAAAAAAAAAGGCUCAGAAUUUUGUAAUGGAAUGCAGUGCUUCUGGGUCAUGUUUUAAAAUAAUUUUCCAGUCCAGAAGCAGCCAAGCACGGCUCCUGUUGGGUGGUUCAGCCCCCUGCAUGCUGGCUGCUGGGGCGGCUGUCCCAGGUGCUGGCUGAGGCUGAGUGGGACUGGACGCCUAGUGGAUGCUGAACCCACACGUGAGGACCCAAGGACCGUCUGUCCGAGUGUUCUUUGCUGUGUGCUGAGAGAACGGCUGGCUUUUCCCUCCACUGCCUUUGUUUUGCCCAGUGGAGCUGUGCGUUUCGGCAGCUGAGCACCCAGAGCCCACCCUGCACAUCUCCCCUCCCAGGGGACAACCCCCCCCCAAGAUGCCCGGAUGUCCCUGUGCACAGUGACUGACAAAUACCCUCUGAAAAUACCCCAUGUUUAUUUAUUUACUUAUUUUUGUCUUCUUAGGGCUGCACCUGUGGCAUAUGGAGGUUCCCGGGCUAGGGGUCGAAUCGGAGCUGUACCUGCUGGCCUACACCACAGCCACAGCAACUCGGGAUCCGAGCCGCACCUGCAACCUACACCACAGCUCACUGAGCGAGGGCAGGGAUUGAACCUGUGUCCUCAUGGAUACUAGUCAGAUUCAUUUCCACUGAGCCAUGGUGGGAACUCCUGUAAAAUUGUAAUUUAAACUAUUAUCUAAUUAUGAAUUAGUACUAGUAAAUAUUUUCACAUUUUUACCAAAGGGUAUAAAACCCAAAACAGUCUUUUAAAAAAAGGUGGAAUGAUUUCAUUAUUGAGCUCUAAAACAGUUACAGUAAAGCUGAAAGUAAGGGCUAGCCCGCAUAUAUUAAUUAGUAAAAUCUGUGUCUUUUGGCAAAGAUGCUGAUUCAGUUAGCAUAGUAGACAAGGAGAGUUGCGGGUUCGAUCCCUGGCCUCGGUGGUUUGGGGAUCCGGUGUUGGGGGAGCUGUGGUGUAGGCCGGCGGUUACAGCUCUGAUUUGACCCCUAGCCUGGGAACUUCCAUAUGCCGCAGGUGUGGCCCUAAAAAGAAAAAAAAAAAAAAAAAAAAAAA